This 634-nucleotide ribosomal RNA is filed under the name bacterium TN52C. RNAcentral describes it as "bacterial SSU rRNA". It matches the Rfam family "Bacterial small subunit ribosomal RNA", at positions 899 to 1531 of the family's 1533-position model. The record is from RNAcentral.
ACUCAAAGGAAUUGACGGGGGCCCGCACAAGCGGCGGAGCAUGCGGAUUAAUUCGAUGCAACGCGAAGAACCUUACCAAGGCUUGACAUGAACCGGUAAUACCUGGAAACAGGUGCCCCGCUUGCGGUCGGUUUACAGGUGGUGCAUGGUUGUCGUCAGCUCGUGUCGUGAGAUGUUGGGUUAAGUCCCGCAACGAGCGCAACCCUCGUUCUAUGUUGCCAGCGCGUUAUGGCGGGGACUCAUAGGAGACUGCCGGGGUCAACUCGGAGGAAGGUGGGGACGACGUCAAAUCAUCAUGCCCCUUAUGUCUUGGGCUUCACGCAUGCUACAGUGGCCGGUACAAAGGGUUGCGAUACUGUGAGGUGGAGCUAAUCCCAAAAAGCCGGUCUCAGUUCGGAUUGGGGUCUGCAACUCGACCCCAUGAAGUCGGAGUCGCUAGUAAUCGCAGAUCAGCAACGCUGCGGUGAAUACGUUCCCGGGCCUUGUACACACCGCCCGUCAAGUCACGAAAGUUGGUAACACCCGAAGCCGGUGGCCUAACCCUUGUGGGGGGAGCCGUCGAAGGUGGGACCGGCGAUUGGGACUAAGUCGUAACAAGGUAGCCGUACCGGAAGGUGCGGCUGGAUCACCUCCU